This 1388-nucleotide long non-coding RNA is filed under the name Lepisosteus oculatus (spotted gar). RNAcentral's name for it is "lncRNA (ENSLOCG00000023091.1)". Lineage: Eukaryota; Metazoa; Chordata; Actinopteri; Semionotiformes; Lepisosteidae. The record is from RNAcentral.
CUCUCUCACUCUCGGUCUCUGGAGCACCCCUGGGGGGGGAGGGCUGGGACGAGGCAGGGGGAGGAAGGAAUGGGGAGACGGGCAGGGACACUGGGGUGCACCCCCUUCCCUGGAGGUCUAGAGACCCUGCUCUGCAAUUCAGAAUAUCCCCGGCCCAGUGGACAGACAGCUGUUGACGUGACCCCUGGCCCAGUGGACACACAGCUGUAGACGUGACCCCCGUCCCAGUGGACACACAGCUGUAGACGUGACCCCCGUCCCAGUGGGCAGACAGCUGUAGACGUGACCCCCGUCCCAGUGGGCAGACGGCCGUUGACGUGACCCCCGUCCCAGUGGACAGACAGCUGUUGACGUGACCCCCGGCCCUGUGGACAGACAGCUCUAGAAGUGACCCCCCGGCCCAGUGGACAGACAGCUCUAGAAGUGACCCCCCAGCCCAGUGGACAGACAGCUCUAGACGUGACCCCCCAGCCCAGUGGACAGACAGCUCUAGACGUGACCCCCGGCCCAGUGGACAGACAGCUGUUGACGUGACCCCCGGCCCAGUGGACUGGCUGCCCCGGUGGUGACUCUCGGCGGCCGUGCAGGAGGCCCUGUGGCGCUGACCGCUCCCCCGUGUCCUGGCAGGUGGCUGUGCAGAAGCAGUGCGUGGAGAAGGAGCUGGCCGCGGCGCAGGGGAAGGCCCAGUGGGCGGACAGGGAGCUGCAGGCCAGCCAGCGGCACGAGAGGGAGCUGCAGGCCCGGCUGGAGGAGGCGCUGCGGGAGAGGGACGCCGCGGGGGCCGGCCUGGAGCAGAGCCGCAGGAAGGCGCGGGCGCUGGAGGAGCAGGCGGGGGCGCUGGCGCAGGAGCUGGCCGCCGCGACGAAGCUCCUGGCCGAGCUGGAAGGUGAGCGCCGCUGGGAGGACGGGGGGGCUAGCGGGGGCGGGGGGCGUUUCAUGUUCGGGAGCCCAGAGGUCCGAGGAUCUGGCCCCUCCGAGCCCGGGAGCCCAGAGGUCCGGGGAUCUGGCCCCUCCGAGCCCGGGAGCCCAGAGGUCCGGGGAUCUGGCCCCUCCGAGCCCGGGAGCCCAGAGGUCCGAGGAUCUGGCCCCUCCGAGCUGGGAAGUGGAGAGAUCCUAGGAUCUGGCCCCUCCGAGCCCGGGAGCCCGGAGGUCCGGGGAUCUGGCCCCUUCACUGCCGGUGGGGAAGGAAGGGUUUCUGGGAGGCUGGCUGUGCAGAAGCGGCUCGUGUCCCCUGAGCAGCCCAGCCCGUGACCCCGAGGGAGCGCGUGCUCGCUGCUCUCUCUCUCCGCGCCCGUGACUCGUCCCGCUGGCCCGGGGUCGCCACGUGAGCGCCGCGGCCUUGCCGGGGUGUGUCUGCUGCCACCCGGUGGCCACGAGGGGAACCAGAA